UAUACAUAUGUGCAUACAAUUUUACAUUUACUCCCAAGGUGCUAAAAGGUUUAAAACAGGAAACUGAUAUCUUGAUGUACAUGAUGGAUCUCACUUCCCGUCACAUAAACCGUGACCAAAAAAUUAUCAUUAGACUCUAAGCACGUAUUCGCUGAUAUCCCUCAAACAAACGGCUAGAACAUAUGCUACUGUUCAUCAAACUCUUUGGUAAAAGUAAAACGUCGGUGCCCGAUGCCUUUUGCCGCAAUUGGGGUAUCUGCCUAACGAGGGAAAGUGCAGACUACAACACCAGCAAAAUUUUCUUCUUGAUUGUUGGUAUAUAUUUUCGUCGUUCGCAUUUCACAUAAUAUUUUAAUUUUAUUACACACUGUCUUCGUUUUUAUCCAACAACAAAACUAAUAUAAUUUUUUUUCCCAAAACAUCGCCUCACCGGUGUCGUUAUUGUUGCGUGCCAAAAAAUCACAAAUAUUCUUUUCACUCUUUGUUUUUGCUUUUGAAUUUCUUUAUUUAAAAUGACGUACUUUUCCGCCGAAUGUAUUAAUCAACUGAGUCAAUUAAUGUAAAACAAAGGUCAUUUAAACGUAUUAUUACUGUGAAAAAAGAAAAUUCCUGCAACUUGCUGAAAAUUCUUGAAGAGUUCGUAAGCAGAGAGCAAUGCCCUUUUCAUAUAGGUGACCCGUUCGAUGUAAACGUACUGAAAACUGCAACUCUCAUAUAAUUUUUUCUUUCUUUUCAGUUAAAAUGCAAUUUUUAUUUUUAUGCGCUCGACAUCACGCACACAUCUCACACUUGUUGACACUAACGGAAUUUAUCGACGACUGGCCAAAGCAAUAGACGAGCUCCCAAUUCGCCCCACAAAUAGCCCCAAAAUAACAGCAAGUUUUCGCACAACAACAAAGUGAUAAGCGACGGAACGGGUGGAAAUAAAAACGACAGCUGUGUGUAGCCUUACCAGAAGCGUUUAAAAUGUGUAUUCCAAUGCUUUCACAUUUUGGCAUAUAUGAUAUUUCAGAAACAGAUAAGCACAUUGUGUCAUGCAUCACAGUUUAUUGUUAUUUAAACUUCUGUAAUGACAUGUAAUCUGGCAAGUCUAUAAGAAACAGGAGUAAUCGAAACGGUACAGAGUGGUAUAAAGCAAGCUAAUACUAACACGUCGCCUGCACUAUAAUAUCAUAUAUAUAUUUAUAUGAUAAUAUUGUACUUUGUGCGUAUACUUUGGAUGUGAAAACACUUGUGAUUUUUUGGCAAGAUCGCACGGGAAAUUCUAUAAAGUGUACCCUGAUUUGAUUAUUGAGUAAAGACUCCUGAUCAACCGUUAACGGAA
This is a non-coding RNA of Bactrocera oleae (olive fruit fly), 1324 nucleotides long. The record is from RefSeq and is a predicted model, not a curated record. NCBI's taxonomy places the organism in Eukaryota, Metazoa, Arthropoda, Insecta, Diptera, Tephritidae.